GAUGAACGCUGGCGGCGUGCCUAAUACAUGCAAGUCGAGCGAACAGAUAAGGAGCUUGCUCCUUUGACGUUAGCGGCGGACGGGUGAGUAACACGUGGGUAACCUACCUAUAAGACUGGAAUAACUCCGGGAAACCGGGGCUAAUGCCGGAUAACAUUUAGAACCGCAUGGUUCUAAAGUGAAAGAUGGUUUUGCUAUCACUUAUAGAUGGACCCGCGCCGUAUUAGCUAGUUGGUAAGGUAACGGCUUACCAAGGCAACGAUACGUAGCCGACCUGAGAGGGUAAUCGGCCACACUGGAACUGAGACACGGUCCAGACUCCUACGGGAGGCAGCAGUAGGGAAUCUUCCGCAAUGGGCGAAAGCCUGACGGAGCAACGCCGCGUGAGUGAUGAAGGUCUUCGGAUCGUAAAACUCUGUUAUUAGGGAAGAACAAAUGUGUAAGUAACUGUGCACGUCUUGACGGUACCUAAUCAGAAAGCCACGGCUAACUACGUG
This 497-nucleotide ribosomal RNA is filed under the name uncultured bacterium. Its description in RNAcentral is "partial 16S ribosomal RNA". It matches the Rfam family "Bacterial small subunit ribosomal RNA", at positions 28 to 507 of the family's 1533-position model. The record is from RNAcentral.